AACGCACGAGACCUGCGGACCUGCGGAGGGAUCAUUAAUGAGAAGCUGCCCCUCGCGGGUAGAUCUCCCACCCUUUGUAAACUUACCUUUGUUGCUUUGGCAGGCCCGUCUCCGGACCGCCGGCUUCGGCUGGCCAGUGCCUGCCAGAGGAUUCUAAAACUCUGUCUGUCAGUGUUGUCUGAGUCUAUAUACAAUCGUUAAAACUUUUAACAAUGGAUCUCUAGAUCGGAAGAGCACACG
RNAcentral lists this unclassified non-coding RNA (240 nucleotides) under soil metagenome. RNAcentral's name for it is "partial contains 5.8S ribosomal RNA, internal transcribed spacer 2, and large subunit ribosomal RNA". The record is from RNAcentral.